AUGAGGUUGAUGAUAGUUAUGGGGGUUACUGGGAGAGAUAAAUGAGAUUAUCUACUCAAGCUCUUCUAACAGGUCUUAGCACAUAGUAAGUGCUCCGUGUCAGCUAUGAUUGUCACUGUGCUUUCUUUCUCCUGCAGAUGGACGACGAGGACACGUUGUUACCUAGGAAGUUGCAGGCAGCUCUGGAGCAGGCUCUGGAGAGGAAGAAUGAGCUGAUCUCCCAGGACUCUGACAGCGACUCCGACGAUGAAUGUAAUACCCUCAAUGGGCUGGUGUCGGAGGUGUUUAUCCGGUUCUUUGUGGAGACCGUUGGGCACUACUCCCUCUUUCUGACACAGAGUGAGAAGGGAGAGAGGGCCUUUCAGCGAGAGGCCUUCCGCAAAUCUGUGGCCUCCAAAAGCAUCCGCCGCUUUCUUGAGGUUUUUAUGGAGUCUCAGAUGUUUGCUGGCUUCAUCCAAGACAGGGAGCUAAGAAAGUGUC
Molecule: small RNA, 480 nt
Filed under: Pongo abelii (Sumatran orangutan)
Lineage: Eukaryota; Metazoa; Chordata; Mammalia; Primates; Hominidae
Description: retained intron
Source: RNAcentral